RNAcentral lists this ribosomal RNA (497 nucleotides) under uncultured bacterium. RNAcentral describes it as "partial 16S ribosomal RNA". It matches the Rfam family "Bacterial small subunit ribosomal RNA", at positions 28 to 507 of the family's 1533-position model. The record is from RNAcentral.
GAUGAACGCUGGCGGCGUGCCUAAUACAUGCCAGUCGAGCGAACAGACGAGGAGCUUGCUCCUCUGACGUUAGCGGCGGACGGGUGAGUAACACGUGGAUAACCUACCUAUAAGACUGGGAUAACUUCGGGAAACCGGAGCUAAUACCGGAUAAUAUAUUGAACCGCAUGGUUCAAUAGUGAAAGACGGUUUUGCUGUUACUUAUAGAUGGAUCCGCGCCGCAUUAGCUAGUUGGUAAGGUAACGGCUUACCAAGGCAACGAUGCGUAGCCGACCUGAGAGGGUGAUCGGCCACACUGGAACUGAGACACGGUCCAGACUCCUACGGGAGGCAGCAGUAGGGAAUCUUCCGCAAUGGGCGAAAGCCUGACGGAGCAACGCCGCGUGAGUGAUGAAGGUCUUCGGAUCGUAAAACUCUGUUAUUAGGGAAGAACAAAUGUGUAAGUAACUAUGCACGUCUUGACGGUACCUAAUCAGAAAGCCACGGCUAACUACGUG